Molecule: ribosomal RNA, 622 nt
Filed under: Russula lepida
Lineage: Eukaryota; Fungi; Basidiomycota; Agaricomycetes; Russulales; Russulaceae
Description: LSU rRNA
Rfam family: Eukaryotic large subunit ribosomal RNA
Source: RNAcentral
AAUAAGCGGAGGAAAAGAAACUAACAAGGAUUCCCCUAGUAACUGCGAGUGAAGCGGGAAAAGCUCAAAUUUAAAAUCUGGUGGUCUUUGGCCAUCCGAGUUGUAAUUUAGAGAAGCGACUUCCGCGCUGGACCGUGCACAAGUCUCCUGGAAUGGAGCGUCAUAGAGGGUGAGAAUCCCGUCUUUGGCACGGAUGCACCAGGGCUUUUGUGAUGCGCUCUCGAAGAGUCGAGUUGUUUGGGAAUGCAGCUCAAAAUGGGUGGUGAACUCCAUCUAAAGCUAAAUAUUGGCGAGAGACCGAUAGCGAACAAGUACCGUGAGGGAAAGAUGAAAAGCACUUUGGAAAGAGAGUGAAACAGUACGUGAAAUUGUUGAAAGGGAAACGCUUGAAGUCAGUCGCGUCGGUCGAGACUCAGCCUUGCCUUGGCUUGGCGUACUUCUUGGCUGACGGGUCAGCAUCAAUUUUGCCCCUCGAAUAAUGGCAAGGGAAAUGUGACACCUUUUACAGGUGUGUUAUAGUCUCUUGUCGCAUGCGAGGGUCAGGAUUGAGGAACUCAGCACGCGCCUUUGGGUGUCGGGGCCUUGGCCCACGAAACGUGCUUAGGAUGUUGGCGUAAUGGCU